CAGUAGCCGCGGUAAUACGAAGGGGGCUAGCGUUGUUCGGAAUCACUGGGCGUAAAGGGUGCGUAGGCGGAUUCUUAAGUCAGGGGUGAAAUCCCGAGGCUCAACCUCGGAACUGCCUUUGAUACUGGGGAUCUUGAGUCCGGAAGAGGUGAGUGGAACUGCGAGUGUAGAGGUGAAAUUCGUAGAUAUUCGCAAGAACACCGGUGGCGAAGGCGGCUCACUGGUCCGGAACUGACGCUGAGGCACGACAGCGUGGGGAGCAAACAGGAUUAGAUACCCCAGUAGUCCCUGUCUCUUAUAC
Molecule: ribosomal RNA, 301 nt
Filed under: uncultured bacterium
Lineage: Bacteria
Description: partial 16S ribosomal RNA
Rfam family: Bacterial small subunit ribosomal RNA
Source: RNAcentral